GCUGAUGUAGGCUGUGCCAAGCUCUUAAGAUCCUAAUCUCAGAGUCAGGUCCUAGGAAAUCAUAAAGAGUUUGCUCCAGGUGCUCUGUGAAUGGGGCCAAAGUCCAUGCCCAGCUCCUUCCUGGGACGGGGACAUCUUCCCUAGGGCACAGCAUCCUAAGAAAAUAGCCUCCGUGGAAACCCAAGAAUCACAUCUCCCAGGCCCCGGGUGGGAACAGAGUCAGCAAGACUGGUCUCAUUAGAAACUAAGCCAGGCGUGGCUGGUGGAAUAAAAAGGAGGCUUUUUUCCCCCCCUAAACAAAUAGCUUUGUAAUUAAAAAAAAAAAAGGUUGUCAAAGCAGACUGCACACAGUUAAAAAAAUAUUCAAAUAAUCCAAGACAAACAGAAGAGGGAAACCAGGAAGUAGAACUCUUGGCAAUUGUUGGAUUCUUGUGGGAAAGGUCUGGCUGGGUUCUCUCAGCAACAGGUGGGAAGUCAGGAGCCACAGAGAGGCUGGCCUCCCCGGGUGGGGUGCGGGCUGCUGAGUCUCACCCCCCUCUGCCUGGUGGCUCCGAGACGGCAGAAGGAAGGGAGGAGUCGCCCUGUGAGGGGCUCUGAGGCUCAGCUUCAGUGACAGGGCCUCCUCUGGUCUCAACUCUGAGGCCCUGAGUCCCUCUGGGUAGUGGCUCCCAGCAGCACACCAGAGCAGAGAAGCCCCUGUCCUGGAAGGGGGGCCGUGAGCCUGCCUGGGCUGGGAGGCCCCGGGACACAGAUCCCCAGCAGCCCCAGU
RNAcentral lists this long non-coding RNA (769 nucleotides) under Marmota monax (woodchuck). Lineage: Eukaryota; Metazoa; Chordata; Mammalia; Rodentia; Sciuridae. The record is from RNAcentral.